Long non-coding RNA from Artibeus jamaicensis (Jamaican fruit-eating bat), 231 nucleotides. RefSeq lists it as uncharacterized. The transcript is spliced from 3 exons. The record is from RefSeq and is a predicted model, not a curated record. NCBI's taxonomy places the organism in Eukaryota, Metazoa, Chordata, Mammalia, Chiroptera, Phyllostomidae.
UCAGGCUGUAACGAAAUACCAUGGACUGGGUGGCGGAUGCGUAGCAGAAAUGUAUUUCCCACAGUUCCGCGGGCUGGAAGCUGGGGAUCAGGGUAGCAGCGUGCUUGGGAUUAUAUAACCAUGCGUGGGCAUUUACUGUGGGAGGACACUAAGUUCAGAAACUAUGGAAUAUCCAUCGGCCAGACUUUCCUGGGCACCUGGCGUGUGCUCCACAUUGAACAGAGAGGGAAU